UACGUAGGUCCCGAGCGUUGUCCGGAUUUAUUGGGCGUAAAGCGAGCGCAGGUGGUUUAUUAAGUCUGGUGUAAAAGGCAGUGGCUCAACCACUGUAUGCAUUGGAAACUGGUAGACUUGAGUGCAGGAGAGGAGAGUGGAAUUCCAUGUGUAGCGGUGAAAUGCGUAGAUAUAUGGAGGAACACCGGUGGCGAAAGCGGCUCUCUGGCCUGUAACUGACACUGAGGCUCGAAAGCGCGGGGAGCAAACAGG
RNAcentral lists this ribosomal RNA (252 nucleotides) under uncultured bacterium. RNAcentral's name for it is "partial 16S ribosomal RNA". It matches the Rfam family "Bacterial small subunit ribosomal RNA", at positions 524 to 776 of the family's 1533-position model. The record is from RNAcentral.